AUUGUAGAGAGGAAAAGCAACCAGGAAUAAAAGGCCAUGGAGGAGAGCAGCCUGGGUAGAGGACGUGUGUGUGCAGACUAUGUGUGGAAUUCCUGGGACAGCUGAGUGUGCAAAUCAGCCUGUGAGUGAGCCUGUAGGGCUCUUGUCUGCACCUGUGUCUUAUUUGAUCUGGCUGUAACCCCAGCCCUGAUAGGCCUCUCUGAAGUGUGAAGCUGCCCUCUUGGGAAGCCUCCUUCUCCUGAGGGUGCUAUGCAGCUAGACUGUGUAGGCAGGAGUUGCCCUGUAGGUCCCUGAGCAGGUCCUGCCGGUCCCGCGCUCAGAAGUGAUGAACUGAUCAGAUAGACCAGGCCAGGCCUGCUCCAGGCUGCUGAUUAUCCAAGUGACUCUGCUCUUA
Non-coding RNA from Octodon degus (degu), 394 nucleotides. The record is from Ensembl. Lineage: Eukaryota; Metazoa; Chordata; Mammalia; Rodentia; Octodontidae.